This 1439-nucleotide ribosomal RNA is filed under the name uncultured Bordetella sp. RNAcentral describes it as "partial 16S-23S ribosomal RNA intergenic spacer". The record is from RNAcentral. Lineage: Bacteria; Pseudomonadati; Pseudomonadota; Betaproteobacteria; Burkholderiales; Alcaligenaceae.
CUACCUUGUUACGACUUCUCACCCCAGUGUGAUCCUACAGUAAUCGCCCUCCUUACGGUUAGGCUAACUACUUCUGGUAAAACCCACUCUGGUGUGACGGGCGGUGUGUGCAGACCGAACGUAUUCCUUGCGACAUGCUGAUCACGAUUACUAGCGAUUCCGACUUCACGCAGUCGAGUUGCGACUGCGAUCGGACUACGAUCGGGUUUCUGGGGUUGGCUCCCUCGCGGGUUGGCGACCCUCUGUCCCGACCAUUGUAUGACGUGUGAGCCUACCAUGGCAGGCCAUGAGGACUUGACGAUAUCCCACCUUCCUCCGGUUUGUCGCCGGCAGUCUCAUUAGAGUGCCUUUCGUAGCAACUAAUGACGGACGCUCGUUGCGGGACUCCAACAACAUCUCGCGACUGCGGCCUGACGACAGCCAUACAGCACUGUGUUCGGUUCUCUUGCGAACACUCCCCAAAUCUCUUCGGGAUUCAGACAUCUCAAGGGUAGGUAAGGUUUUCGCGUUGCAUCAAUUAAUCCAUCAUCCACCGCUUGUGCAAGGUCCCAAAUCAAUUCACUUUGAGAGUUUAAUCUUGCGACAUACUCCCCAGGCGGUCAACUUCCACGCGUUAGCUGCACUACCAAGGCCCGAAAGGCCCAACAGCUAGUUGACAUCGUUUAGGGCGUGGACUACCGGUAUCGUCUGUUUGCUCCCCACGCUUUCGUGCAUGAGCGUCAGUGUUAUCCCAGGAGGGCUGCUUCGCCAUCGGUGUUCCUCCACAUAUCCACGCAUUUCUGCUACACAUGAAUUCCACCUCCCACUCCUGGCCUCUAGCUCGAUGAUUAAAAAUGCAGUUCCAAAGUUAAGCUCUGGGUUCGUACCUCUUUCUUUUCCAGGAACCGCCUGCGCACGCUGCGCCCAGUAGUUGGUCAACAUACCUACGUAUUACCGCGGCUGCUGGCACAUGAGUUAGCCAGUCUUAUUCUGCAGGUACCGUCACGGGUAUUAAUAACCCGUGCCGUUUCUUCUGCCAAAAGUGCUUUACAACCCGAAGGCCUUCAUCGCACACGCAGGAUGGCUGGAUCAGGUUUCCCCCCAUUGUCCAUUCCCCCUGCUGCCUCCGUAGGAGUCUGGGCCGUGUCUCAAUUUGGUGGCUGAGUCGACCUCUCAAACCAGCUACGGAUCGUCGCCUUGAGUGAGCCGUUACCCCACCAACUAGCUAAUCCGAUAUAAGCCGCUCUAAUAGUGCGAUGCCCGAGAGGUCCCCACUUUCCCCGAAGAGCCAAUGCUGCGUGUCAGCUACCGCUUUCGCGCCAGUUAUCCCCGCUACUAGGCACGUUCCAAACCGGCUCUCACCCGUUCGCCACUCGCCACCAGACCGAAGUCCGUGCUGCCGUUCGACUUGCAUGUGUAAAAGCAUCCCGCCAGCGUUCAAUCUGAGCCAGAAUCAAACC